GGAGAGGUACCGAAGUGGCCAUAACGGGGCCGACUCGAAAUCGGCUGUCCCGCUAAUACCGGGACCGUGGGUUCGAAUCCCACCCUCUCCGCCA
This 94-nucleotide transfer RNA is filed under the name Deltaproteobacteria bacterium ADurb.Bin026. RNAcentral's name for it is "tRNA-Ser". It matches the Rfam family "tRNA". Rfam says of the family: Transfer RNA (tRNA) molecules are approximately 80 nucleotides in length. Their secondary structure includes four short double-helical elements and three loops (D, anti-codon, and T loops). The record is from RNAcentral. Lineage: Bacteria; Deltaproteobacteria. RNAcentral also lists the same sequence under 2 other names.